Molecule: ribosomal RNA, 256 nt
Filed under: uncultured bacterium
Lineage: Bacteria
Description: partial 16S ribosomal RNA
Rfam family: Bacterial small subunit ribosomal RNA
Source: RNAcentral
UACGUAGGGUGCGAGCGUUAAUCGGAAUUACGUGGGCGUAAAGCGUGCGCAGGCGGCUUUGCAAGAACAGAUGUGAAAUCCCCGGGCUCCAACCUGGGAACUGCAUUUGUGACUGCAAGGCUAGAGUACGGCAGAGGGGGAUGGAAUUCCGCGUGUAGCAGUGAAAUGCGUAGAUAUGCGGAGGAACACCAAUGGCGAAGGCAAUCCCCUGGGCCUGUACUGACGCUCAUGCACGAAAGCGUGGGGAGCAAACAGG